UGGGGAAUAUUGCGCAAUGGACGAAAGUCUGACGCAGCGACGCCGCGUGUGGGAGGAAGCCCUUCGGGGUGUAAACCACUGUCAGAGGGGAAGAACGCUGUCUGUUCUAACAGGGCAGGCAAGUGACGGUACCUUCACAGGAAGCGCCGGCUAACUCCGUGCCAGCAGCCGCGGUAAGACGGAGGGCGCAAGCGUUGUUCGGAAUUACUGGGCGUAAAGCGCGGGCAGGCGGCCUGUUAAGUCUUUUGUGAAAACCCGGGGCUCAACUCCGGGAAUGCAGGAGAUACUGGCAGGCUAGAGAAUGGUAGAGGCUAACGGAAUUCCUGGUGUAGCGGUGGAAUGCGUAGAUAUCAGGAAGAACACCUGUGGCGAAGGCGGUUAGCUGGGCCAUUUCUGACGCUCAUCCGCGAAAGCGUGGGGAGCAAACAGGAUUAGAUACCCCCGUAGUCC
RNAcentral lists this ribosomal RNA (450 nucleotides) under uncultured prokaryote. RNAcentral's name for it is "bacterial SSU rRNA". It matches the Rfam family "Bacterial small subunit ribosomal RNA", at positions 355 to 796 of the family's 1533-position model. The record is from RNAcentral.